CUCUUAUCCUGAGUAGGUGGAGGGACAGGCCCGAUGAAACCCGGCAACCGUCAUCAUCCCUGGUGAAAUGGUGCUAACCUGGGCUCCGGAAGGAGCUGGAGAUAAGAG
Molecule: non-coding RNA, 108 nt
Filed under: Schnuerera ultunensis
Lineage: Bacteria; Bacillati; Bacillota; Tissierellia; Tissierellales; Tepidimicrobiaceae
Also listed under: 1 other name
Description: Clostridium ultunense SAM-I sequence
Rfam family: SAM riboswitch aptamer (S box leader)
About the family: The SAM riboswitch is found upstream of a number of genes which code for proteins involved in methionine or cysteine biosynthesis in Gram-positive bacteria. The SAM riboswitch acts at the level of transcription termination control.
Source: RNAcentral